Molecule: long non-coding RNA, 213 nt
Organism: Populus euphratica (Euphrates poplar)
Lineage: Eukaryota; Viridiplantae; Streptophyta; Magnoliopsida; Malpighiales; Salicaceae
Exons: 2
Source: RefSeq, a predicted model, not a curated record
CAUGUAUAACACCUAUAUUAUAAAUUGGGCGGUCAAUUUUGGGAGUGCAGUCCAUAAUUCAGAACAGAGACCAAGAUUUGCAGUUCCGAGUCAUGAAGGGGGGCUAGCGACCUCACCAACCAUUCCAAUCAUUAAUAUAAAUGAGUGCUAAAAAACCCUUCUGCUAUGAACUUGAAGAAGAAGCCUAUGCGGUGCCGUUGAGUCCAAAGUUAA